RNAcentral lists this long non-coding RNA (309 nucleotides) under Elaeis guineensis (African oil palm). Its description in RNAcentral is "long non-coding RNA (EGUI_LNC058196)". Lineage: Eukaryota; Viridiplantae; Streptophyta; Magnoliopsida; Arecales; Arecaceae. The record is from RNAcentral.
AGUUCGGUCGAUCCCAAAGGUCAGUCUAGCAGUUUUUUAAUGUUUACUUCCUUUUUCCUAUCCCAUUCUGUUCUAACUUAUUCUGGCUUGUUACAGAUAUGAGGCCCAAAGAGCUUGAGGUGUUGAGAAGGAAGAAUGCAUAAAAGAAGAGGAAGACGUUCUCAUCAGCCACUGUCAGGGCCCAAAAGAAGCAAAGGCCCUCCAAAGUUGGUCAAGAAGAGGUGCUCCCUCUGGCCUCUUGCACUUGGGUGGAAACCAUAUAGGCUCCCCGAUCCAAUCUUGUGCCCCCAAUGUCGGCAGCUCCCCUAG